This 29051-nucleotide long non-coding RNA is filed under the name Coffea arabica (coffee). Its description in RNAcentral is "long non-coding RNA (CARA_LNC003056)". The record is from RNAcentral. Lineage: Eukaryota; Viridiplantae; Streptophyta; Magnoliopsida; Gentianales; Rubiaceae.
GAAGUAGUUGGUCACGGAGGAGAUCCUGAAGGGCAUUCUGAUGAUGAGCAUCACUAGUCGGAUUCUGCAAUGAGCCGGCAAAAGAGAUGAUGAGAGGAUCUAGCAAAUUCAGCAGGAUGUGAAAGCUUUGUGUUUUGUUCACUUCUGAAAAGUAUGUUCUUCUGAAGGUUGCUUUGGCAACAAUUGAGUCUGACAAAUUUUUCUUUAUACACUUUUUUGGUAUUUUAAGCAUGGGCUGGUCAUCCAUGGGAAUUACGGACUCUUUGACUUUUUUUUAGUGCAAGUCAAAUAAUCAAUGGCUACAAUUGGUUCAUUUGUAAUUGACAUUGGUACUUUAUGAGACGAUCCAUUGAAAUUGAGGUGUCAUUAAAUGGGAAAAAAAAUAAAAGAGGAAAGGAUGCAAUCAAAUCCACCUCCGAAUCAAACCUUUCCCCAAAAUCAGAAAGGACAAAGGAAAGGUUAAAUGUGGAAAGAAAAUGGGCCAAUCGCAGACCUACUUUUGCAAGCCUAGGGAGUUGGACAAAUCCUGAUGCAUUGCGGCUUAAUGCUUAUGUAUGACCUUGGGAAUUGUUCAUGUUUUGAUGCAUGGCGGCCUAAUGCUUUUAAUAACCCGUUUGGAUUGUAUGUUUUCUGGAUAAGUUUUUUGAUACAUGUUUCUCUAUGAUUAUGAUCUUUUAAUAUCACGCACUAGUCUCUGCAAUAUAGCGUUAUACCUCAAUCUUUUCCCACAAAAACUCCUGAAAUACGCAAUCCAAAUGGCUACCGUCUUAUUUAGUCAUCUUAUAAGCUUUCUGACUCAGACUCUGGUAGAAAUUCAACAGUGUCGGAGCUACUAGGAAAACAAAGGCGGGGUGGCGGCUUUGUUUUACUCGCUCUCGUUCAGUGCUGCUCGAACUUGUGCACAAGAUGAAGUAUUGAACCUAUCGGUUUCGCCCAACAAGGAGCCCAACGACUGGGGAAUGCUUCCGAUGCAAACCAUGUACAGCAGCGAUGGAUGGGACUCUUAUUCCUGGGGAUUCCUAGCUGACUCCGACGUGAUUGAGAUUUCCAUCCAUAACCCAGGAAGGGAAAAAGACGCUACUUGUGGCCCUCUUAUCGAUUCUGUUGCCCUCAAGGCUUUGCGUAGGCCUCUAAAAACAAGAGGUCAUUUCUCUCCACCACACACACACACACACACACACUCUCUCUCUCUCUCUCUCUCUCUCUCUCUCUCUCUCUUGCAUCUGGUCCAAUUGUUUAGUUUGGUAGAUGACUAGGGAGGGUUUAUAAAUUAUAAUUGGACCAGGGAUUUUCCUAUUACCUAAUCAAUGUCUCUAUCUGCUAAUGUGGGUUUAGGUGACUAUUGGGGGCUAAUUAUCUAUGUAGUUUAGAAAUUUGAAGUGAAUUAAUUUAUAUUGACAUCUUAUUUACCAUAAAACUUAAAAAAAAAGUGUGAAGUGAAUCACAUCCAUUAGUAGCAACAGGUGAACCUCAGUAAUUGUUCGGACCCUCAAUCCGUUAAAGAAGUCCAUAAAUUCUGAAGGCCCAUUUCUCAGGAUCGAUGUUACUUCCUAAUAUCUCCACAAAAAGAGCAAUAAAUUCUAUGGCAUAUGCACGUUUAAGGGGGGACACGAUAAACGUGUCUAAUCAAAUCUAACACUUUAUUGUUCAAACUUGUUUAAUAAUUUUAUCGAGUUUGAAAUUAUAUUUAAAUUUGAUUUGUUUAAUUGAUUCCAAAAUACUUGUUUGAGUUUAAUUUAAUUAGUCGGCGAACUAAACUCGAGCAAGCUUUUACUGAGUCGAACUCACUGAGUACUUUUGUUUGUCUUUCAACCAAACUGCCGCUUGCGGCCUUUCUCACAAAUCAUUAGAAGGAAAAUCAUUAGAACCAUGAUGACUGGAUCACAACAAGAAGUUUCUUACUAGAUUCUAGCUCAUCCAUUCCUUUGCUAAUUCAAAUUCUGUAUUCAAUCCAUGUUAUUCUAUCAAUGUGCCUCCUGCUUUUCAAUAUGAACCCACAUAUCUUGGUUCAUUGAUGCAAUGCAGGAAAUCUGUUGAAGAAUGGAAAUUUUGAAGAAGGUCCAUAUAUCUUCCCCAACACAACAUGGGGAGCUCUAAUUCCUCCCAACAUCGAGGACGACCAUUCCCCGUUGCCCGGCUGGAUAAUCGAAUCCCUCAAAGCCGUAAAGUACGUAGAUUCAGAACAUUUCAGCGUCCCAGAGGGAAAACGAGCUGUAGAACUCAUAGCAGGAAGGGAAAGCGCUAUUGCCCAGAUAGUGAAGACCAUCCCAGGCUGGUGGUACGAUCUAGUUUUCUCAGUAGGCGAUGCCAAGAAUGGGUGUGAAGGAUCUAUGCUAAUAGAGGCGUCUGCUGGGAAGGUCACGCUUCAGGUGCCCUACCAGUCCUCUGGUAAGGGGCAGUUCAUCCGAGCCACCCAUCGAUUUAGAGCAGUUUCAAGGCGCACAAGAGUCAGGUUUUUGAGCAGUAACUAUCAUAUGAGGAGUGACAAUACUGGAACAUUAUGCGGUCCUGUGAUUGAUGAUGUUCGGUUGUAUAGUCUUCGUAAACUACGUAUGUGAAGCGAUUCAGCCACAGAUACUCUCAAGCGUCAGAAUUUACAAAUCCUCGAGUUUACUCUCUCGCAAAGUCAUGAAUCGUGAUCAUCAAUAGCUUAUGAAGGAAAUCUAUUGUCUUGUUAUUGUGCUGGGGUGGGGUGAUUUUUUUUUUUUUUUCCUUUUUCCCUAAGAUUACUAUUACUGCUACUACAGAAACAAUUCAAACAGAGAAGAGAGCUUUUAAGUUGCUAUAUUACAGCAUUGGUCAGUAUAAAAUCAUACUCCAGAUUUUAGUUAAGGGACAUCUUAUCGUACAUGGUGAUGUUUAAUUGCUUCUUGCUGCCGGGAUAGAGUAUUAUUUGAAAUAUUAUUUAGAAUAAUUACGGUAGCACUUUUUGUGUGAUAUGAUAUAUGCGAGAUAAAAAGGUAAUUGAGAAUAUAAAAAUAUGAGUUGGAAAAUGUGUUUAUGAUGCAAGCGAAAUAUUAUUUGAGAUAUUUGUACUAUCCAAACACUAUUGGAAUUAUAAUAACGCUUAAUUUCAAUAAACCCCUCGAAAAGUACACUCUUCUUUUCUCAUCUUGCCCCCUCGAAGAUUGAAUUGCACUAACCAACCCCUAUAAUAAUAUUCUCAAAUAGGUGCAAACGGGUCGAGGAGCCCAAUGUGUGGCAAAUUCGGGCAUGCACACCUUAUGACGUGCUCAAUUUUUAAAUGAUCACCUUUAGUCAAUUUUCAUUUUUUUGAGUGGAUUUUGGUUGGAAUUUACCGGACCCACAUGACGUGCUCAAUUUUAAAGGGUAAGAAUGACAAACCGCCUUGACUAGAAAUGUGAGAGGACUAACAGUGCAAAACUUUAGUUAAACAUUCAUCAAAAAACACAUAACUAACCCACCAUUACUAACAAUUCAUCUAACCCAAAACAACCUAAAAAUUCAUCUGAAGGAAAUUGCUGAUUGAAAUGCUAGAUAUAUUGGGUUCUGAGACAAUGAUGCAACAAGUGCAGAAUGACUCGACCACCUUGGCUUGAUCGACGGAUGCAAUUUCCACAAUUUCUCCAUUUUCCAGCAUUAGGGCCGGCCAUCCUGACUUUAAUGGAGAAUGGGUUCUUCUUGGCUUCAGUAAUUGCACCACCGCUAUAGACCGUGACAGCACCAUCGUCGCCCCAUCGUUGCAAGUGUUCGUAAAAUGCCUGAACGAAAUGUCCAACUGGCUAGAAAUUGUAUGUGAUUAGUGUUAGGAUGCGAAAUAUGGAAAAAAGAAGAAGGAUAACAUGAGCGAAGAGCUUAAGAAGAAGAUUAGGGGAAAUCAGAAAAUAGGGCAGAGUAUGGUUCAAGAAGCUUCUGGCAGGUUACUGUGUUAGGCUUGUAGGAAGAAAAUUAGACAAUUAGAAACUUCCGAUGUCUCCAAACUCCAAGGAAUAUGCUUUACUAUGCUUGCCUGCUUCCCGUACCAUCUAUGGAUUACCUUUUUUUUUUUUUUUUUUAACAUUUAUCUUUUAUAGUAAAUUUGCUUGUUAUUUUCUUGUCUUCAAUCACCAAUUUCCUUCGAAUGAAUUACAAUCAACUAAGAGGAGUUUGCAAUUAGGGUUCAUUUUGGGUUGAGACGAAUUGGAGAUUUGAAGGUAAUAGUGGAAUAUUCUUUGUAUUUAGAUGAAUAUUUAACAAAAGGUUUGCACCAUUAGUCCCCCAAAUUUCUGAUCAAGUUGAUUUGUCAUUUUUACUCAUUAAAAAUUGGACACGUCAUGUGAGCACAGUAAGUUUUGGCUAAAAUUCGCUUGGAAAAGUGUAAAGGGAUCAAAGGGAAUCAUUUUUUGUUUGUUAGAGAUUAAAACUGAUCAUUUUCAUUUUGAGGGACUAAAUUUUCAUAUCAACAAUAUGUGAGGGAAGAUUUGGUGCAAUUCUCUCGCAUUAGCUGAAUUUUAGUUACCUAAUCCUUAAAGAAUUAAAUUUGGUCAACUGAGUACUUAGUUGAGAUGGAUUUUCAAGGAAGGAAGAAGACAGCCAAAGAAAAAAGAAUCACUUGGUUGUUUUUCAAGAAUACUUUGACAUGCUUUGUGAUAAUCUGGCAUUAUCUUUUCUCUUGAUUCUUUCAAAUAAAGAAAGUUUACUGAUGAAAUUUUUUCUUGUGAAGCACGCCUUAUUUUCUAGGACAUCAAAGUUUUGGUUUAUCAUGUCUGUAGAACAUAUGAAAUGUAAAGUUUGUAAUGUCCAUCUUCGUUUAUGAUGAUAAUAUGCUUCAUCAGGUUAUUGUUCCUAGGGCCAGAUUCUUCAAAUCAUCAACUUUUCUUUGUAAAGUUGUCCUUUCUCCUCUGGUUAGCCAUAUCUUGAACAUUUGAAAAAUGCAUAAUUUGCUGUCAGUGACAAGUGACUUUACCAUAGCAAUUAUUUGAACUCCUGGAAGUUCAAAGUUCUGAAUUAUCAAUGCGUCCUUCUUCCCCUGCUGCUGUGCCAACUAAUUCACAAGUUGCAGUAAUUUAUUUGUCGACUUGACUCCAGAACUUUUUCCUGCCAGGAUCUUGACCUCACCCUGCUCCCUCUCUUAUUGGCCCUCCCCCAAGUCCAGGAUUUGUCUUUCAGUUGCACCUGAUCUUGAUUUUCAUUAUCAUCCUCUCUUUUGACCAGCUUUUCCAAGGAUGUAGUCUGGCUUAAGUGAUGUUAACUUGAUACACACCGAAUAGCUCAGCUCAGUGCUUUUAGUAGCUAAGAGGAGGAGGCAAGAGGGACGACAACUCAAGCAGUCAAGCCACAGUUAGCCUAUAACAAGGGCUUUGUUGGUCGCAAGCUUGAAUCAGUAUUACUUUACCCUGAAGUAUGCCAAGCAUUUAUUUAACCCUUUGUAACGCAACUUUGCAGCAUUCAUGGGCAGCGUGCAAUCAUGAUGUUUGAUGUUACAGCACGUUUGACCUUCAAGAAUGUGGCAACAUGGCAUCGUGAUCUCUGCAGGUGAACCAUCAUGUUUCAUAUUACCAUACACUUCAACUUAUUUCUGCAGUCCUUUAUUUUUUGGCCAACAUUCUCCUGUCAAUUACAGGGUGUGCGAAAAUAUACCAACUGUUUUGUGUGGGAAUAAAGUGGAUGUCAGGAAUAGGCAGGUAAAAGCAAAGCAGGUCACAUUCCAUAGAAAGAAGAAUAUUCAGUACUAUGAAAUUUCGGCGAAGAGCAACCACAACUACAAGAAGCCGUUUCUCUAUCUUCUUCGGAAACUUGCUGGGUACUGAUUACAGAAGCAGCAUCUCCUGUAACUUUACUAUCUAUGGAUGGCUCUUGUUCCUACCUUUAAAAUUUUUUACGGCAGCUGUCAAAUUGUUUUGUUCUACAGGGACCCUAACCUUAACUUUGCAGAGCAGCCUGCUCUUGUACCACCUGAAGUUCGUAUUGACGUGGUUGCACAGCAGCAGCAAGUGAUCAUGCAGAAUUAAAAGCAGAGAAUAUAUAGUUAACUCAAAGUCUCAGACAUCCCUCACAAUUUUGAAUGUUUUAGUGAAGUUGUACUGGGUUUAGGCUUUGUAUCAACAUUGCGUCUCGGUUCUGGUAAAUGUUCUGACGCUUAGGUAAGCCCAAGUUACUGUUAAUGCAAGAUGGCGCUCAGUGGGCUAAAGAUUUGCAAAACGAGGCCGGCCCAUAAAUUUUAUGGAUCACAUUAGGGUUUUCAAAUUCUUCUUCUUUUUUUUUUUUUUUGGGUUUUCCUCAUUGAUUUUCAAGUCAAUUUUAGUCAACGUCUUGUGAUUUCCCCUGAUAUGAUGAUAACCCCCGAUAGUUUUCCUGGACCACUUGAGUCCACGGCUAGCCUUCAUAUUUGACAUCUUCUACAUUCUCUCUGUUCUCCGCCCUUUUCCUCCUCUUUUCCUCGUCUUUUUUAGUAUAUAAUAAAUAGCCCUCUUCCGCCCUUCCUUCACUAAGAACCUGGCAAUCUCACUAUCCCACCGUCUGGUCUCUUUUUUUUUUUGCAGGAAUAUAAAAUGGCUCAUAUGUGUUCGAGACGUGGUUUCCACCACUUGUGUGUUAAUGUUUAGUUCUGGCACUUCGUUAAUCACUCUUUUAACUCACGCACAUGAAUAAAACUGGUUCAACAACUUUUAGACACGCCAUUAUGGAUUUGAAAUGCUCAAACCAAGGAAGAUGUAACACUUAAUGCAUUACGAAAUAUGUUUUUUAGUUCCUUAUAUAUAUAUAUAUAUAUAUGUAUAUAUAUAUAUAUAUUGUCCCCUAUAAUCUUGAGUUGUGAGAAAUUUUUAUCUCGUGAAUUCAUCAAGAUCCUUGUUGGCAUUGUUCAAGUAGGUCCCUAAUAUAUAAUAGCCUUAUGAUUUAUGUAUGGAAUAUAGUUUUGGAUCGAAUCACUGUCGUUCCACAGUAUAGACCUCCUGGGAAAUUGUCAUUUUCUCAAAGAUGGCAGAGAUAAGUUUGAGAAAACGUCGAAAGGCUAAAAACCCUCCAUUGUUCGUUUACUCUAGGGUGUAAUAAUGGCUGAAAAACGACACGGUAUAAAGUUGGAUAUUAGCAUGAGAAGUUGACAUACACCUUUUACUUUUUCCUCAAUAAUUCUGUACAAACCACAUGAGAAGCACUUCUCGACCGUCCAUCAAAAAACAACUCAUUACAUAGCUACGGGAUAUCAACUUAGGCUCAGCAUAACCAACCUACAAGCCACCAAACCAUCCUAAAAGCCAUGAGACACCAAUAUUCUGGAUAAAAAAGACUUGGCACUUUCAGUGGUAUGGAGAUUAGAAUGUCAACUCAUGCAAGUUGGCCAAAGCCAACGCAACACAAAUCAAUACCAAGAAAACUUAUAUCAAGGUGGAAUCAUUAUUAUGUUUGGAAAAUGCUCACACAUACUCAUGGUCAUAGAUGGGAAAAAAAAAAAAAAAGACUCAAUCCCAUCCGUUACCUUAGUCCAAAAGAAUUGGAUUGUUGAGCACACAUAUGGGAGCUACAAAAACAUGGGCUGGAAAAGGAGACUACUCUACGCAUGCGAUGAACCAAAACCACGAUUUACAUUAGACAAGGAUAAAGUUGUUAGAUAUUUAAAUUAUCGAUGAUUAGGUUCUUGAUUGAAUAUAGCAAAGAUCAGCUGCCAUUAUUUUAUGCAACUGGCAACGGGAUUUCCCUUUUUUGCUGAACCAUUUGUACUUUGUGCAUGGUCUUCAAUGGAGAGACAUAAGUUAUCUAAUCCAGGAUGGUGUAAAAGAGACAAAACAUUUGUGCAGCAAGUGCUUGGAUUUGUUAACUCUGCUUGGAAAUUGGUAAAAAGUUCUUGUAGUUGGUGGAAUGCAACAAUAAAAUAGCCGUGAUUUCAUUCUUUUAAACUUUUAAAAAGGUGUUAAAACUUAAAAGAAGCCCCCCCCCCCUCCCCAAGAAUUACGAUGGCAAAAAUGUUAUAGAUAACCUGUGACAGCAUGAUUGUAAAGCUGUUACCCAUGGCCGAUGCUUACAGACAAACCUAACCCCGUUCCCACUUUUAGAUUUCUGGACUACAUACAUCUUGAGACUACUGAUGACCUAGCUUUAUCCAAAGGCAAAAGCGUCCCUGUCAUCAUAGUAUCUUUGUUACUAGUUCAAUAGCUAGAUAUAACUGCAUUAAUUUUAUGAGAUUAGCUGAGAUUUUUAGUACCUUAAACCAAUAGCUAUAACUACAGGCAAUAUCAUAAAAGUUGGAUUUAGGGCCUACAGAAUUGUAGUUAUGCCAGCAUUCUCCAGUCUCAACGGUGUAUAGUAGUUUCUUUGUGAAUGGUGGAUUGUAAUUGGAGUACUUCACUUCAUAUGCUAACUGUCAAGUUUCUGGCUUAAUUUACUGAUUUUGUUUAGAAGCAGAUCACAACUGUUAAAUUUGGGAACAUGUUUUUGGCAAUGUUUUUAAACCAGGACCAGAGAGUGAAUCGGAAAACCUUCUAGUUUGCGGUUCGAUCGGUUCAAUUCUAGUUCAAAGGUUUAAUAAUUUUUUAUUCAUUCUAGUAUUAAAAAUUUUGAAUAAAACUAAAAUAUUUAUUUUAGAAAAUAAAUACUUAAUAAAAAGCUUUUACCGGUUUUUACGGGUUCAACCUGUUCUUGACCGAUUUUAAUCGGUUCAAUUAACUCUUUGACUUUGUAAUUGAACCGGAAGAGAGGCAUGACCGAUUCACGGUUCAACCGAUCGAACCGAUCGAUUCGGUCCAAUUUUCAAAACACUGGUUUUUGGUGCCAAAUCCUCAUCUCAAGCAGAUGUGAACCUAAUGACAUCAAAGAACGUCGAAAGAGGAAAGGAAAGAAGAAAAAGGAAAUCAAUCAUAAAAAUGACAACAUGUGUUUGGAGAGAGUACUUCACACAUUCAUGUCAUCUCAAUGUAUAAUGCAAACGAACAUGCAUGAUACACUAACUUGCAUUCUUUUAGAGAAAGCAUGAAGACAAGAAAUAUCUGCUUCAUUGACAAACAAAGACAGUACUUGGCACCGGUUCUUCCCUCCACACAGAAGAAAUCAAACAAAAUGAUGAUUGAAAGCAAAGCGUGAUCCCGUCAUUUCUAAUCGAAUUGUCUUUGCUGAAAAUAUAGGUAUGCCAGGGAUGUGGGGCACUGAUUUUUAGAGGGUGGACUGAUCCAUAAGUCCAAAAGCAAGAGUAGAUGUCAACUGUAGGAUACAUGAUGGAUACAGCGAGUUCGUAUAAUUUGUAGGGAGAUAUAAUUAAUAGGUCCACUUCGAUUAAAAAAAAAUUUCUUUUUGUUGUAUGUUUCUAAUAUUUUUCUAGUUCAUUCAAGGAUAACCUCUUGAAGCCAUUUUAGACACAGUUAUCAGAACAACUACCACGGAGAUGCACAUGACUAUUGGCUGUAGGGAAACGUCUAAUUUGUCUUGGCCGUUGAAAUAUGGACAAGGCACCCAGAAUUACACCCAUUAAUUGAAAUAGCACUUGAAAUCUUCGGUGACAUGUUUUUAUAUGUCAAUCCAAUGUCACCUAUAGUAUUGCAUCCAAGUGUUGAAAUAGGGUAAUAUAAUGUGGUAACACAUAAUUUCGAUAAUAUACUUUUCUUCUCGUGCCAUAGAUUCUAAAGUUGGAGCAAUUUUAUCGUUGUCAUCUCAUCGUCUUCGGGAGUCCAAAAGAAACAAAGACCGGUGCACUAACAUUUGUACUUUAAUUCUACAAUAACUGAUUAAAUUAGAAUUAAUCUUGUAUACACUGAUUACGUAUAUAUUAAUGGAUAGAGCUGCAUGACGCAUGUAUAAAAAUUGAAAUUGAAAUUCAAAUAAAAAUUAAGCUGCAUGUAUUCAUGCCUCUAUUAGCGUACACAUGUAUGUAAAAUUAGAUCCGGAAAAGGUCUCCUCAUUUAUGUAUGGUGUGGCUCACACGUAACAGUAGUAUUCAUUCUAGAAAAAAGAAAAAGACGUGGGUCACAUUGAAGAAUAGCAAUUAGCAAAUUAAUUACACGAACUAAGUAAGAUGAAGGCCAUCAUGGAAUCAUGCUUUGGUAGGGGUAGAGCGCCGCAUUAAUCAGAACCUUUCGACAAAUUUGUAGGAAUCGCAGGUAAUUAAAACAAUUAGGGAUUAUUAUUAUGGUCAUGGAAUCACUAGUCUACUUUUCUGACAUUGGGUUAUCCCACUUUGAAGUGCGACUUGUACUUUUUAUGUCACAUUAAAUUGGCUUUUUUUUUUUAUUUGGCGGACUAUUCUUUUACACGUGUCUUGUAAUAUCAGAAGCAGGUGUUGGGCUGACAAAUACUCCUAAAUUACUUUUUUUUUUUUUUUACAAUAUAUUGUGGGAUGGGCAAUUAGUGAAGAAGAAAGUGUUACUAGAUAAAAAGGUGGAAGAAGUGGGACCUUUAGGAGUAAACGACACAGUUUUUGCGGUUGACUGCGUCCGCCCACCGCGCAGCCUGAGGUGAGAAAAUUUGGUGGGGGCGUGACACGCUGUUGUCAUCUUGUUUUCCAUCGCCACCAAACCACAAACCCCGAAAAGCCGAAAAUUAAACCGACCUAAUUAAAAAGAAAACAAGACAAGAAAAGAAAAGUAUUAUAAAUUAAAAGAUUUGCUUCUUGAAUUCUUUGAAGUGCUAUCUAUAUAUAGACAACAUGUAACAAGAAAAAAAGAAAACAACUCUUUUAGCAGCUUUUCUUUGAUCCGUUAUUUGGGAUCCAAAGUGUUUGAUGUUGUCCAGCAUGCAUCAUUUGGUAACAAUAAUAAUAAUAAUGAUAGGAGUAUUAAGGCGGUAAGUGAGUUUUUUGGGUGUUUGUCUAAAAUUUUACUGUAGUUUACUGUAGAAGUCGUAGAAAAAUUUUUUGAAGUGUGUAAAUUUUUAGAUAUUUUGAAGUGUAUAGUUUAAAAACUUUGAGAAGUUUUUUAAAGUUACUGUAGUUAAAGUUGUUAAAAAACUUGUAGCAAAUAAACUUGACAAAAAACUUGCUUGCCAAACAAGGCCUAAGUUUCUGGGGUGUCAACUACAAAACUAGCAUAUGACUUUUAUGAUCCAGCUGGGAGCUAUUCGAAGAUGAGAGACAUAAAACCAAUUCAUAAGUUGAAAAUGUCAAACAUUUGAGAAACACGUUAAACAAUCAAAAUCUUGGGUGGGAUUUCCUUGAGGGCGUCGAGAAACUUCCUUGAUCUCCUGAAGCAACCUUUUACUAUCAGUUUUCAACAUGUUUAUGAUGGUGGCUUCGGUUUCUUGAUCUCGAUCGGCUUUGAAUUCUUUCGACUUAUCCCUUGGCUCGCAUUCGUACAUUCUUGUGUUUUGUCGCCCCUCAUUCUACGUUAAAAAUAUGUCAACUUCAUUCCAACUCAUGCCAACAGUGUUAUUGUUCGUUUGUUUGGUAAAAUCUUAGCAAAUCCCCAAAGCCGGGAUUCCUGAUGACCGAAUAUUCAAUAUUACGUUGUUUCCUCUGUGACUCUGGCGUCUAAGAUAAUUGGUGUUGCCAUUUGCAUUGUAUUAUAUACGUUCGUGCAUACUACAUUAGUAUGGUUCUCUUUGAGUGAAUUUUUCUUACUUUCUUGAUUGAGCACACAUCUUAAUUACACAUAACUUACUGUAUAAACAAAAGGCAUACGUCUUAAUUACACAUUUACAUUUGUCUAUGAUACCUACCUUUAUUUUUAUGCAAAAAAAAAAGAGAAAAAUUAAUGCUUGAGGCCCUCCUAAACCAAAUCCGUAAUCAAUUAGUUGAUUGUUGAACGCUUAGUCUUUACAACCAUAAACUUGCUAAAACUGCAAUAAAUCAUGCAACCCCAGCUCCAGCUGCCAAGUGGAAUACAUAUGCAAGCAAUAUCCAUCAUGCUUUCAAAGCUCCUAAUUCAAAAGCACAUGCAAACAGACAAUCACUUGUGAAGCGUCCCUUUGGUGGACAGUUAAGACGGAUGUGGUUGAUUACAUGCCAAUCUUUCGGAAUAAUAAACAAAAACAUGAUUGGUUUUCCUGAUUAUGGAAUGUUCAGAGUCGAACAUCUGGCUUCUGAUUAAUGGAUCACCUGACAAGGUCAGCUGAACUUAGCACAGGGGUCUCUUUGUUAGGCCCUGAUGUUUUUAGGCCGACCGAUUAGAAUUAUGACCAGCUCUGUGGUACAUUUUGCUCUUGCAGUUGUUGGACGGUGAAGCUGUGGAGAUCAACAAAAGCUCAAACAUAUAAACGUGGCUGAACUUUUCAUGCUUUCUUUAUUUCAUGUAUCUUUUAAUUACUUGGUGGGAAUUUAUAUAUAACGCACCAAUGACUAAGAGGGCAUCCAUUCGUCACAGGCUCGUAGCCAAUACAAAAUUGAAGCUGAUCUUUCGAUGGAAUUAGAGAGGACCAUCGAGGAGCAGAAGGGCCCCAUCAUGCCUUGGUUGUAUUGGGACAGGAUUAAGGGAAGAGUCCUAGGGUGGGUCACCUAUGCUUUGGGACAACCAAGGCAUAUGCCCCGGCUAAGAGUGCAGGAAGAAAGUAAUAGAAUAGACAGCCCUGUUCCCAUGUGCCCUCUUCUUCACAAAUUCAAUAGCAACCUUCCAAAACCCCUGCAGACCGACUCCCCUUCUGCCCUCUCCUACACAACAGAAAACCAAUACCGUAUCUUCUGAAUCAAGGGAAGAAGCUGGUACUGGGAAGCACUAUCGUAUGUCAUCCCGACCGUAACGUAUCCAUCUAUUUACCUAUGGAGCAUAAUCGUGAAUUUCUAAAUUAAGUUCCCACCCGGCCGGAUUUAGAUGAUCAUGUAAUUGUUUGAGAUGGUCUAUCCAUAAAGUGUGACUUGAAGUUUGUGAUAGAGUGCAAAAUAUAGGUGCCGAUCGAUUUACCAAAUCUCAAUAACAAGUGAUCGAUUUUGCUAAUUCAGGAGCUUUGACAAUUUGCAUCUUCUUUCUACUCAAAUUUUUUGGGUAGGGGCCUUCACCAAAAUUGCAUGUGUACCAUUUUCUCUCGUCUCCACAGGGGGGCCUCCCUUCUAUUCAAGGGCACCCUUUUCCAGUGCCUUCACAUCCGUUUAUCCUACCUAAGCAGGUUCCUCUUAGUAAGGAAGUGCAUAUGACUCCUGCUUUUCUUCCUGCAAAUGAAAUAUGGUCCUGCAUCUUCAUCAACGUGAUAUCAGACCGCUGGAAAUUUUUGGAAAUCUAGAUGGCGCAGUUCAAUGUAUUUGUAUCAUACAAAUAAAUUAUCAUCUGAAUUGGUGGGGGCUAGUUAGGUUUCAAGUCAUUAUUCAUCUAUGACACUCAACGAAAGUGAUUGAAAGCAAGCACUUAGGUGGGUAUAAUGAACUGGAUGGAUACGCCAUAGUAACUUCCAUUUUCUCAGUCAAGACAAACUUUCCAGUGCACCAAUCGACUACAUGUUUCCAAGGCUAUACAUGCUUAUUCAUACAUAUUGUUUUACUUCGGCAAAUAUAGCAAAUAAGCAAAAGCCCCACAAGAAAUUGCAUGGCAUGGCAUGCGCGGUUGUUCACUGUACAUCAGAACCUACUGCUGGUUAUUAAUUAAUUACCUGUCGUUGAUGGAGAUCUUAUCAGCAUCCAAGCUAGUCGGUGCACAAAAUUUUCCUGUGCUUAUGACAUAGUAGGACAUUGACCGCUUACCAUCCUUCAACAGGUGCACAGGAAAUAAAUUUUGGAGUCAACUUUUCACUUUUGAGACCUAAAUUCUUUCUGCCUCUUUGAAUUCAAAGGACGUGUUCAUACAUCAUGUAUACAUGAACUUGAAAUUAGAAUUCAAAAUCAAAGAAAACACACUAGAAACUAAUAAGUUCGUUGAAAAUAGAAUACUAUUAUGAGAUUUGGACCUAUAAUCUAAAAUUUUAGAAAAUUCUUUUUCUUUUGUGUGUGUGUGUGUGUGUGUUGGGGGGGGGGGUAGUAUGAAGACAAGUUUAGCAAUAAAUAAAUCAUAAACUGCUAUAUAUGCCUUGUUUCUUUUAUCUUUUUACCCCCUACUUCAAAAGGUGCUCAUUUUUCUUUUAUUGUAUGUAUUUGAGAUGUUUGUACAAGGUCCAGACCCCAGGGGCUAGGAUUGUCCCAGUCUUGACACCACCAUUAGUUGACUAUAGAGCUAUGACUCAUAUAUAGCGGCUUUUCCGCAUUCCCUGGCUUGCCUCGCUUAGUUAAGCAAACUUUCCGGCAAUCCCUCCUCCAUAACUUAUUACUAUAUAAUACACAGGCCUCCCUUUGAUCUCUUUCUCUCUCUGUCUCUCUCUUUUGGUUUCGAACUCUCAAAUAUUUGCAGAGAGUAGAAUUCAGGAAACCAACUACGUACUACUAAAUCUGCAAAAGGAAAUUCUCGUUAUAACCAUGGCAGAAACCUUCCACUGGUUUUGGCUUCGGCUUAUCUCAUAUUUUCUAGCAGUAUGUGUUUGCAAGGUUUUGGUUCACUACUGGUGGCUGCCAAGAAGAGUUGAGUAUCAGUUUUUACAGCAAGGAAUUAAAGGCCCAGAGUAUCAUUUCUUUCUUGGAAACCUCAAGGAGCUUGCAAGUUUGAUGUCCAGGGCUUCCUCCCAAGAAAUGCCUCUUUCUCACAACAUACUCCCCAGGGUUCUGUCUUUCUAUCAUCAUUGGAAGAAAAUCUAUGGUACUCGAGACUCGUUUCCCGUCAUAUUUUUCUUUCCAUUUGAGGUUACUGCGGAUGAGUCAAGCCAUGAUUUUCAGACUCUCUUCGUUUAAUUCUAUCCAUCUUUGGUUUUCAACUAAUAGAAUAUUGGUUUGGCUUCUGAACGUACAAGUACUAAUGAUUUUGUCUUCUUGAGACAAAUGGUUUUCCUAAAAGUUUUUGACAUCUUGUCUAAGGGAGUAUGAUUCAAGGCCAUCAUUUUCCUAGUGUUUGCUCAGGGCCACAUCUUUUUGUACUCGUCCAAGAGGUGGUGUCUACUUGACAUGAAAUCAUAACGCGCGCUUCAUUCAUUUUUUCCUUUGUAGAUGCAAAGUUAGAAACAAGCAUCCAAAAGUUUCGAACUGCUGUUUUUCUUUUGGCUUCUUCUUGUUCUUCGUUUGGUUUCAGUUGAAUUCUCAAACUGUUCAUCUAGUAAUUUUAGCAGUUACAAGAAAUUUAACCCUUGAAGUGUUGUCUUCGAAAGUACCAUGCGUCUUCUAAACUACGGAAGGCAGAAUAUGUUUUUAUUAAGUGCCAGAAUAUAUUUCAUCAAGGCGUUUAAAUUCCAGAAAACGUUCCACUAAUGUGCCUAACUUCCCUUGUCCAUAAAAUGCCCGUUACACCAGUUCCACAGCUAGCAUAAUUUGUCCGUUUCUUUUCUUUUCUCCUUCCCUUUUUCUAUCAAAACUUUGAAGGGUUUAAAAUAAGCUGGCUCUCUCAAUAUUGCAGGCGCAAGCUUUCUUGUAUGGUUCGGACAUACACCUCGUCUCACCAUAGCUGACCCUGUCCUUAUUAGAGACAUUUUCGUUACAAAGUCAGAAUACUUUGAGAAAAAUGAACCACCUCCCCUUGUUAAGAAGCUUGAAGGUGAUGGUCUAUUAAGUCUCAAAGGAGAAAAAUGGGCUCAUCAUAGAAAGAUCAUUACACCAGCCUUCCACAUAAAAAAUCUCAAGGUAUAUAAAAAUUUUUUUUUUACGAUUUUUUAACAGUUUUAAUUAGUUAAAGUUGUAAGCUGCCUUUUGGUUAAGAUGCAUUGAUCAACAUCCCAUUGCAUGUGUCCAUUUUCUCUUGUUUUGGUAUGUGUAGCUGAUGAUACCCAUGAUGGCGAAUAGCAUGGGGAAGAUGCUGAAACAAUGGUCCAAAAUGUCGUCAAAUGACGGCAAGGUGGAAAUUGAAGUCUCAGAAUGGUUCCAAAACUUGGCAGAAGAUGUCAUCACCCGCACAGCAUUCGGAAGUAGCUAUGAAGAUGGAAGGGCUAUUUACCAACUUCAAGCUCAGCAAAUGGUCUAUGCCACUGAAGCAUAUCAAAAAGUGUUCAUUCCGGGUUAUAGGUAAUUAAUUUGAUUAAUUAAACAUUUUGCUGCAUAUAUAUAUAUAUAUAUAUAUAUAUAUAGCUAGCUAGUAAUAUGAUAUACAGUACUGUAUAUAUAGGUCAUGCAGUUGUCGCCCUUGUCCAAACACGGUUUAACUUCAGAAUCUUGCGAAUUUGAACUGAUUUGUUUAUGAUUGCUGCCACAGGUUUUUGCCCACCAAAAAGAACAGAAUUUCUUGGAGACUGGACAAAGAAAUUAGAAAAUCCUUGAUGAAACUCAUCGACAAGAGGAGAAAAAAUGCGAGUGCCAAGGGGUUGUCAGAGGAAUGUCCAAACGAUUUGCUGGAACUCAUGAUCAAGGCCAGUUUGAAGGAAACAACAAAAAAAACAGUCCCAAAUAAUUCAACUUCGAAUUCAAACACGUCGUCAUUAAUGUCCUCGUCGUCCAUCACAGUUCAUGACAUUGUUGAGGAAUGCAAGACAGUUUUCUUCGCCGGAAAGCACACCACAUCAAACUUGCUGACGUGGACGACCAUUUUAUUAGCUAUGCAUCCUAAGUGGCAGGAACUGGCACGUGAGGAGGUCUUGAGGGUGUGCGGAGCACGUGAUACACCUACUGAAGACGAUGUUGCCACGCUUAGGACGGUGAGCUAAACCCUAAAUUUUAUACUAUAUAUCUUUCCCAAUGAUUUUUUUGCUGAAUGGACGCUGGUUGGGAGAAGUCUCAGUCAGUUAGCGUUACUAGUUUUUUUCCACAAAAAAAAAAAAAAAGUGAUAUUUUUUUUCAUGCAAAGCUAAUCAUAUCCUACUAGUUAAGUCAAGUCUUAAAGACGGUCCGUCCUGGUAUAGUUUGAUCGGUAAACUAAUCAAUUCAUAUCGAAGCAUUAAACAAACAAACAUAAAAAAAACAGGUGUACCUUUUCUCUUUCUCUUUGGGUACGUAGAACAUAAUAUUCAUCCGGUCCUUGUGUGCGUCUUAUGAAGGAGGAAGCCGGGCGGCAGAUUUGUCCUCAAGCCAAAAAGGCCUCGGCUUGGGAUGUUUUUUUGGUGCCUGGUGACUGGAUUUAUAUUACUACUAGUUUGUCCUUGAACUAAAGUUAGAGUGUCCAACUUUUGGGGCUUUAGAAGAGAAUCGAAAAACUUUGGGUGUUUUCAGCAACUUUCCGGGCAUUAUUAUUAGCUGCUUUCGGUCUUCUUCUCCGGAAAACAGAAAUGCAACCCGACACUGUACUUCCCAAGGGGAGCCCCAAAAUCUUGCCUCUUUAAUUUGGAGGUUAUACUUAUCCACAACCUAACGUUAACAAAAUAUCUUCCAUCCCUCAAUGUUAGUUUUCCUAGUCUUCAUCCUGCCACGCUUUGAAACACAAGUUUUAGAGAAUGAGAUCAGUGAAAAUCUAGAUUGUGCAAGUUUUGGUUCAUCGUUCAUAAGAACUUGGCUGUCAGUUUGACCCUAUCUAGCUCUCAAGUCUCAAGGAUAUGUUUAGGUUUAAUCAAGCCCAUGUUCUUAAUUAAUUUCGUUGCUAUUACAAUUUUAUUCACCUUAAUUAAUUAUCCGCAGCUGGGCAUGAUAUUGAAUGAAUCUCUGAGAUUAUAUCCACCAGCAGUGGCAGCAAUCAGGAGGGCCAAGGUGGAUGUAGAAUUGGGAGACCUAAGGAUCCCACAGGGCACAGAGCUCCUCAUACCAAUCGUGGCCGUUCAUCAUGAUCCAGAGUUGUGGGGCAACGAUGCAAAUGAGUUUAACCCCGCCAGAUUUGCGGGAGGGGUAGGACAUGCAGCCAGGCAUUCAAUGGCUUUCCUGCCUUUCGGAUUAGGCUCCCGUAGAUGCAUUGGCCAGAAUCUAGCCAUAUUGCAAGCGAAAUUAGCCAUUGCUAUGAUUCUACAACGCUUCUCUUUUGAUCUAUCGCCAACUUACCAGCAUGCACCCACUGUUCAGAUGCUUCUAUAUCCACAGUAUGGUGCACCCAUUAUGUUCCAAAAAUUGUAGCCAGUAGGAUCUCAAAGACUUACUGUCAUAUAAGCCUAGAUAGCUAGUAUUCUCACUUGUACCUAGUUACGACCAUGAAUGCGUAAAUGUUAUAUACAGGAAUUAUAUCAUCUUUUUUACCUUCAGCUGCAUGCCUUUAAAUUUUGGUUAUGCCUCUAAACAGUAGCACAUUCACCCUUGAACCCUUUUUUUUUUUUUUUUUUUGGGAAUUAAGGGUGAACUUUUAUUUGUUUGUGUAAAUUAUUCUAGGUACGUACGUGUACGUGUACGUGUAGGGGUACAAGAAGAUAACUUUGGAAUCACUUGCAUAUAUUCUAGCUCAUUGUGAUCGAUCACCAUUACGCUUCAUUGACUUCUAGGGAGCAAAAAAAAAAAUUUUUUAAAAGAAGAAGUGCAUGAUGCAAUUUUUAGGUUUAAGGAGACUCUAAUCUUUAUAAAUGAAUAAAAAAGGACUCCAAAUCUUUGAAAUCGAACCUAAUACCUCACCAUUCCAAUUGUUAAUAUCCGUAUUUGGUCGUGCUAACUAACACUAGAUCCCUUAUAAAAUAUUUAGGCUCUAUUUGAAUAGAAGCAAAUUAAGAAAGUGAAGUAAAAGAAAACGAAAAUUGUUUUGUGGUUUAUAUUUGGUUAGCAAGAAAAAUUUUGAGGGAAAAUGGGAAGUUAGUGAUAGUUAGUGGUAGUUGUUAAAAUUUUGUGUCUAACUUAACCUAUUUUCCUUUGAAAUCCUGCAAAUUUUAUAGGAUGCAAAAUGCAAGAAAGUGCAAGAAAAUGCUUCAACUAUCCCCCUGCUUAGUGCUUGCCAAAUAUACAUGAAAGAAAAAAUAACUGACUUUCCUUAAUAUUUUUCCUUGCAAACAAACACAUCCUAAAAAAAAUUUUCGUAAAGCUUUGGUCCUUUUGAACGAGCAAAAACAGUUUAAAAGCCCGAAUUAUCAUUUCAAGCCCAUGUUGACUCAACCAUAAAUUAAUUAGGCCCAAAUGUGUUGCUAGGCUUGCGGCUUACCCAAGCAUUGAGCCCCCUCUAGCCCAGUAAGCUCAUUGAGUUUUCGACGUGGCACUUUGUCAACCAGCGGCGCACUGUACACAUAAACAACAAUGGAAGAGCGGGUGGGGCUAACGUGUGCCACAAGAACUAGCCACGUCAUUGUGGCGCACAUUAGCCACACCCACUCUCCCAUUUAAGGCGGGAAACACGUAAGCCGUUUAAAACCACGCAUUAGCUUCCGAUGAAAUUAUUAUCUCAUCAUUUCCGCUCUGUGUCUUCCUCGGGCCUGCCCAUGGCUAAAAUGGAUCCCGGGUCAAACUCUCUUAUGUGGUUCCGAAAGGGUCUUCGGAUCCACGACAAUCCAGCUCUCGACUACGCUGCUAAAGAUUCCAAGCAUGUAUACCCGGUUUUCGUGAUCGACCCGCGCUAUAUGGAGCCCGACCCAACAGCAUUCUCCCCGGGUUCAGCUCGUGCUGGUCUGAACCGGAUUCGUUUCCUACUGGAAAGCCUCACUGAUCUGGAUAAAAGUUUAAAGAAUCUUGGUUCGCGAUUAUUGGUGCUCAAGGGUGAACCAAGUGAAAUGGUGAUUCAUUGCCUGAAGGAGGUAAUAAUUUUUUUUGGGGGUUAACUUCUCAACUGUCAAGUCCUCUGCUUUUGCUACUUAUGAAUUAAUCUUGGCAUUAUCAAUUCAGAAUUGUGGUUAGUACCUGUGGCACCGACAAUGUUUUUUUUUUCCUGGGGUCUUGAAUGUUUACUGAAGUAUAAUGUAGGCCUAAAACUGGGUACCAGGACGAGUUUUCAGGCCCUUAGAAAUGGGUAGUCAAAAAGAGCUUAAAAUUUUGUCUUUAGUAUGGUUAUGUGAUGAUUCUGUAAUUUCUGAUGAUGGUUCUGUUUCUUUGGAGGUUCAAGUGGAACAUAAGCAAGCUAUGCUUUGAAUUUGAUACAGAACCAUAUUAUCAAGCUUUAGAUGAUAAGGUCAAGGUGAGAAUUCUUCCCUGGAUGAAGAGUGUUUGGGACACCUUUGUUUCUUAUAGCUCUUGAUUCAUUGAAAUCUGUAGCAUGUUUUAAUGCUUGCAGUGCGAAUGUGGUAAUAGAUGUAUAACAUUUCCUUUGACAGAGCUAUGCUUCUUUAGUUGGUAUAGAGAUAUUUUCUCCAGUGAGCCAUACACUCUUCAAUCCUGCAGAGAUCAUCCAGAAGGUAAUUAAGUCAUUCCUAAAGUUGACACAACUUUAGACAAGCUAAUUCUUUUUCCUCCUUUUCACCUGAGACUAUUUAACCGGAUAAUUUCCUUCCUACAUGUAAAUUGUCUUGUGCAUUCCUGCUGAACAUACUUGUUGAUACCACAUUUUUCAAGAAAUUUUUGUUAAAAUAUUUUCUGAUUUCAUUUUACUGUCUCUUGGUCCAUCUGCUCAAUUUGAUAUCAAAGAAUGGGGGGACACCACCUUUAAGCUAUCAAUCGUUUAUCAAAGUUGCUGGUCAACCCUUCUGGAGUUCAUCUUGCCUUUCAACUUCGCUUUCUUGUCUUCCUCCUCCUGGAAAUCUUGGGAGUUGCACCAUCUCUGAAGUUCCAUCGUUAAAUGACCUUGGUUACAAGGAAAGUGAAGAGGUAGGACGUUAUGAACUUCUUAAGAGGCCUUCACAGAUGAACAUCUUCUAAGAAAUACUAUUCAGCAGGAUGAAAGGACUCCUAUUAGAGGUGGUGAAUCAGAAGCUUUGAGGCGACUGAGUGAAUCAAUUGCUGACAAGGUUGGCUAGCAUUGCCAUUGUCUCAACUCUCAAAUUCAUAGGAUGGCUAACUUCUUAUAUUUAUUUGGCUUGCUUGCACAUGAAUGGAAAAAUAUUUUCCAAUAUUCCUGUGUUGACAAUGUCUCCCCCUCACCUGUCUUUGUCUUGCUUUAUCUGGUAUAUUUAUUGAUUACGUUGAAAAACAGUACCAGGAAAACGUUUGUUCUCCUUUCUUUGUAAUAUGUCCCUUUCUAACUCAACACUAUGAAUACAUGGUUCAUCCUAUUUUGUGUUUGUUGCACUAUUAUACUAGUAGUUCCAGCUGUCUCUCAUUGAGUUUUUCUUUCUGGUACAUUUCCAUUUGAUCAUGGAACAACGCAUGUUUCUUAGGACUGGGUAGCAAACUUUGAGAAACCCAAGGGGGAUCCAUCUGCAUUUCUAAAACCAGCUACAACUGUUUUGUCACCGUACUUGAAAGUAAGUACAAAACACUGGAUUGAUGUUCGGCCAUUUGUCCAAAGUAUUCUAAUCUAUUACCCUCCUCUUUCAAUUUUGUUGGAAGUUCGGUUGUCUGUCACCCAGGUACUUCUACCAGUGCAUUCAGGAAGUUCAGAAAAAUGUUAAGAGGCACACGUCUCCACCAGUUUCCCUUCUUGGACAGGUCAGCUUACUGAUGCUUCUCCAAAUUUUACUCCCCUCAUCUGACUGGCUCAUCAACUUCUGCAGUUGCUGUGGCGAGAUUUUUUCUACACAGUUGCUUUUGGCACCCCCAAUUUCGAUAAGAUGCGCGGAAAUAGAAUAUGCAAGCAGGUAAUAUAACUAAGUGCCCAACCUUUUUUGUCUCAGCAAAAUUUGGGCACGUAAAUUGUGGGAGCUGUGCAGCUAUGAGUUUGCUUUUGGUUGAUGAUUUAAAUCUUAAUGCCUUCAAGCUUGCUGACAAAAAAUGAAGGAUAGGAUUGUGAAUGUGUGUUGGGCGGCCGGGGGGGGGGGGAGGGGAGGGAGAGAGUCUCCCCUUAAGUAUAUUGACAAACAUAUGGUCCUUUUUUAAAAACCACAAUUUAGUCUGUACAGAAAUAGUUUCAUGUUACAUUAAUAUAUGUCCAAUCAGCUAGAAAAUGCAGAAAUUCAGGAAUAGUUCUAUGCUAUAAUUGAUCAUUUCUCUUAAUUGGGGAGAGCAGCUUUAAACAAUGUAAUAUCUAGGCUGGGAAUCCAAUAAAUAUUAGUAUAGUGAUCUCCAGAUGAGGAAAUGAAGGGAGAAAUUGAAGAGGGAUUCAAUGAUCUAAAGAAUAGAAGAAUAGUUGGAUACUCUGGUGGCAAAUUAUUUUAAUAUUAGUUAAUUCAAUGAUUUGAUAAUUGUUAAGACCUUUAAAAAUUCUGAACUUUCAUUUGGCAAAUCCUUUGCACAUUUGGUAAGUAUGUUUCUCGUAUUGCAGAAGACUGGAAGUUGGUAUUGUUAGCCUUAUAACAUUUGGUUAGUGCCAAUUAGUUUUAUGCUAGGAAGGUUAGUCUUCGUGCUUACAAAUGAUCAUUUGAUAUUUGACAUAGAUACCAUGGGAUAGCAAUGAUGAGCUGCUUGCAGCUUGGAGAGAUGCAAGGACAGGUUUCCCCUGGAUUGAUGCCAUUAUGGUUCAGGUAAGGUUCAGAUUUGGAAUUCCUUGAUUGUUAAAGGUAGAGACUCUGUUACUAGAGAUUUAUCCAAAUUUCAGAUUACACCGUACUACUAUAUCUAAGUCUCGUAUAAAAUUGCCACAGCUUCGGAAGUGGGGUUGGAUGCACCAUCUUGCAAGGCAUUGUGUUGCUUGCUUUCUAACGCGUGGAGAUCUGGUAAUGGACUUCAACAUUAAGUGGCAAUACAGUUUACCCUUACCAUUUUUUUGUCUGACAUGCUUGUGCUGACAGUAUGUGCAUUGGGAGAAAGGCCGUGAUGUCUUUGAGAGACUUCUUGUUGAUUCAGAUUGGGCAAUAAAUAAUGGAAACUGGUUAUGGUUGUCAUGCUCAUCCUUUUUCUACCAGGUAUGGUUCACAUUUCUCAAUUUAUCACUCGCAUGUCAUGGUUGUCUUAUUUGAGCUACCGAGCUGAUGACCAGAAGGUUAACAAGCAUUCCAAACUUGAUGAGAUCAAGUGAUCCAAAAAAAAAAAAAGAUGGGAAAAUGUUCAAAUAGUUGAACAAAUAUUGGCAGUUCAAAUUUUUGAACAAUUUUUCUGGAUCAUUAAUUUGGUGAAACCACAGAGUUGCAGUCAGUAUGUGUAAAUGCAGACUGGGUUCUUUGUAGUUCCACAAAGUUUCUAUGAACUACUACUAGUAGCAUUCUAAUGUAACUGUCUUUUGCAGUAUAACCGCAUUUAUUCUCCUAUCUCUUUUGGGAAAAAAUAUGAUCCCAAUGGCAAUUAUAUUAGGCAUUUUCUUCCUGUGUUAAAAGGUAUGUUAAACAUGAAUGACUUCUUGGUUUAUUUACUUGCUUUAGCCAGUCUCAGAAACUGUAAACUUCAUUUCUACGUGCAGAUAUGCCAAAGGAGUAUAUUUAUGAGCCCUGGUGUGCUCCUCUAAGCAUCCAAACUAAAGCUAAAUGCAUAAUUGGAAAGGAUUAUCCGAAACCAGGUCAGAGUCUUGCCUAUAUGCUUUCCCGCUUCUGUCUGACUGCCCAUAUCUGCCGCGGUCUGCUUUGGGACUCCAGCUACAGUUUUUUUUUUUUUUUCUCGAGCAUCAUUUUAAUUGCUCAAAUAUGGAAAGCAACCAACCCAUUCUUCAGAAAGGCCAUGAACAUAUCUCAAAUUUGAAGUUUCUUAGUGCUUUGCUUUAAAUCCUGAGCAAUUGCUUCCCUGAUUCAUCUUCUUCGAAUCAUUUUCAUGGACUUUCAUUUGAGAAAGUUAGAAUGAUCAUUAAUUUACGAGUUAUGCAAAUGUACCCAAAAUGAACGGGGAACAAAGCUGGUUCCUGGAAUGACUUCGUCUUCCAAAUCAGUUCUGUGAAAUGUUCAAGUUCUCGUACAUAGCAUAAAAGAUACGUCUCUAGUAACAUCAAACUGCUCAUCAUUCAAACUACUGUAUUUUCUCUUUCCAAUUUUCUUAUGCUAGUUUGUUUAGUUACUUUCAAGCUUAGUUUUGGAUUGCACCAAGUCAAAAGAAUGGUAUGUUCUGCAUAUUUUACUGGAGUUCUUGUCUUGCAGUGGUUUCCCAUGAUUCUGCAAGCAAGGAAUGUCGAAGGAGAUUAGCUGAAGCAUAUGAGUUAAACAAAAAACAAAAUGGCACGGUGAGUGAGGAAGAUCUGAAGAAGUUGAGAAGAAAACUGGAGGAAGAUAAGAUCCAAGAGUCCAAAUCAAAAAGAUUAAAACAAAAGUCGAUAGGUUGAGGUCAAGAUUAAUUUCAUGUUAGCAGGCAGGAAAAUAACGCUGAAGGAUUAAUGAUAGAGUUGUACUAUGAUCACCUUCAUGGGAGGAAAGAAAAAGGCAUCUUUUUUGUGAUCCCUUGAUCAGAAGCCGGAUACCAAUGGAAGCUGCAGUAACCAUCUUCGGCAAUGAAUCUCGGUGGUAACAUUUGAUUGCUUGGGCUUUGAUUUCAGCAGAUAGGUUCUCUUUAAUCCAAAAUCUAUCUGGAUUCUAUAAAUGUCUAGUACCUUUAAAUUGGAAACACGACUCUCAUCAAUAGUUCUCUGCAGUGGAUUUAGGAAUUUAUGCGUAUUAUGCUGGCACAAACUAAUGUCCUUCAAUUAGCUAUUAUAAAGCCAUUGCUGAUAUAGACCAACAAAAAUCGGUCUGGCAAAUCUUCUCUUUGUGCCUGUCCGUAACCUGUUAUUUACCAGCAGGUCUAAUGAUCGAUUCUCCUGUGUUACUUUACUGUGUAUUUUUGGAGCAAGGUUCUACACGGCUUUAGGAGAUUAGUCUAGUCGAAAGGUUGGAAUACUCUUAAGCGAAAAAAAAAAGAUCUUCUCUUUGUGAUUUAUUAAUACAUUGUUCACGGUAAGAAAUCUUGUUGACGUCCUACAUGAUGAAAUUCUUGAACUAUCCUCAUCCUAUAUUCUGAAAACCAACCAAUUAUUCCCGGCUUCCAGCAUUGGUAGCAAAGAAGAUUAGAUUGCCUCUGAGAUGUUCCUCAUUCUCCUUCUCAAUGGCAUCUCUGUUUAUGCGUUACUGUCAACAGAAUUAAUGCACUGAAAAUUUCCUCCCCGGUAGACAACAUGGCCAGGCCUUUCCGUCGAGCUCCAACUUCCAAAAUGUAGAAUGCGCCAAUAACCACGAUUAUGGCCCUUUCAAAAAGAAAGUCCAGGUAAAUACUUCCCCGAAGGACUAAUAUAUCGUCAGAAAAUUCAGGCAUUAGAAUUCAUUAAUCACGUAAAAAUUUCUGGCCAAUUUAGUCAUUUCAUUUUAGAAUACAACUCAUCAUGAGAUAUAAAUGUGUGAUAUUAACAUAUAAAUGUAAUUAAGAGUUAAUAAAAUAUCAGUCGACCUGUAUUCUGAUAUUUUAUUGCGCUCAAUGCUUGAUUAUAAUACGCAAUUUUUUCUCAAAAAAAUUUUUGUGGCAUCUUUCAAAAUAUGCAAAGUAUCAAAUGGUUUGAGUUUCUAGGAUUAUAUAUUGCUUUGAAGCAAAAUUAGGGGAAUAAAAGAAAGGAAAAUAGGGAGAGAAAGGAAUGAUUUCUUUUUUUUUUUGCUUUUUGCCAUAUUUUGACUUAACAAGGUUAGUUUAGGAAUUUCAGCAGAGAGAGCCUGCACACGCGCAAAAACUUGUGGCACGAGCGAGUCAAACCCCAGAGAGGGAGCAGUGCCGCAGCCUCUGGCAGGCUACCCAUCCCUUCGGCCAGCGAGAGCGAGUACCGCUCUCUCCGCACUCUUGACCUGGGCUCUCUCUAAGCCCAAGCGUUUUCAUUUCUCCAAAUUCGCCGAAACAAAAGAGACUUUCUACGAACAAACAGUGAUAAAAAAGAAGCCAAAAACCUCGUUUUACCUAUCCACUGGGGCGACCUGAGAUCGGACCGACAAAACCCUAGCUCAACCACUGAAGAAUCAUGUGGAGAAGACUAGUCUCUUUGCAGCUCAAAACUUUGUCUAUUCCUCGAUCGGUUCCUAAGCCCCAUCGAUUCACCGCCGCCGGUGCCGUCUCUUCAUCUCCGGAGUCAUUUCGGCCAUCCGUCACCCUCUUCUCUUGCCAGUUCUCCACUGAAACUGGUAUGCUUCCAUCCAAGCCCUAAUUUUUCAGUCGGAUCUUCUAUUCACCCUCUGAUUACUACCAGGCAUUUUCCUUCUACAUUUGUGCGCGUUCAUAAAGCCUUUGUUUGUGAUUGAAUGGAGAAAAGAGUGAAACUUGUGUUGAAUUUUGUUUGGUGUAGCAAAUGUGGCAACGAAAAAGACAGUUGAGGAUGUAAUGCCGAUUGCGACUGGUCAUGAGCGCGAAGAGCUUGAGGCUGAGCUUGAAGUGAGACUCUUUUUUACAAUUCCUUUUAUUUAUUAUUAUUUUUUUUUUGUAGAAAGUCAGUUAUUGUUGGCUUUAUUAUUUUAAAGGGACAUAUUUGAGGUUCUGAAAUUCUGCUGUUGAGUGUAAUUUAUUGAUAGGUGUCAUCUAUGGUUGAUAGUUGUUCUAUUUUUUGUGAUUAGGGAAAGGAUAUUCUGGCAAUCAACUAUCCCGUUGGUCCUUUUGGUACAAAGGUCAGUCUCAUGUUUUUGCUUUCAAGUAAUUUUUUCAGCUUAUCUCAUUGUUUUUGGUUAAGCUGUAGUUGCUUAUAUUGCUAUUGUUGUUAUUCAAGGAUUGAAAUGCUGGGAUUGGCUUCGAAUUAGCUAGUCUGUACAACACUUACUGGUGGCUCUGAAUUAACAAAAGAAUUAUUGUGGCAUGGUAUAUGUAGGAUGCCUUAUUGGUCUAGGUGAAUAUAAAAUAAAUUAUAACUUAUUCAUCUGUCAAAUACAUUUUUAAUUAUUGUUAGAAGUAAGACUCGUUUAAAUUCCUUGAACCAGUGGUUCCAUACCUGCUUAGCACUGUUUCCGAUGUUCAUUCGUAUUUUUGUUGUUUGUGUUAGCACAGCAUUGAUUAAAAAUGGCUUGACUUGAUUCCAUUAUAUUUAAGAACCAGUGAAUCAUCUUUAAAGAAAUUUACUUGCUGUAGAUGUGAGAUGACCUUGAAGUGAUUUUAAAUAAUUGAAUAUGUGCUUGGUAACUGUUCAAACAUGGCAAAACUGUGAAUAGUAGUGAUAUUGAUGCAGAUCUUGAUUUAUAUUCAGAACUAUGUAUUGGAGUUCUUUUACUUAGCUAUUGCUGUCUGUUCAUCAAUGUCAAAUGUGGUGGGUUUUCGGCUGAAGGGGUGUUCAUUUAAACUUUAACAAAAGGUAUGAAUGUAGUAAAUUUUGGUCUGCAAUCCUACAUUGCAUCCUUAUACAUUACAUUGUGGUCUGAUGCCAUGUCUCCCAUGAUUAGAAGCUCAUUGUCCUUGAUCUAUUCUGAGACCCUUGGAACUUUAUUGCAAUUGUCUUUAAGAGUUCCACAGCUUUCAAACUGCAAAUCUAGUGGAAUUGAAGUUGCUGCUUGGGUAAUAGAAAUUUCCUUAAUUCCAAGAGUAGCAUUGCAAUCAUGUGAUGGAAAUGAAGUUGCAUGGGUAAAUGUGACCAUCUAGCUUAUACCAAAUAGUUAGGAUAAUGACUUGUUAAUUUGGUUUAUGUAGUUUGCCGGAGUUACGUUCUACAUAUUUGCUUAUAAUCUUUGAUGAAGAUUAGGUACUGUUAUUGGGUUAAUGUGAGUGAGUGGACCUAAUCUACCCAGUUAACACUGAUUAUGAUUAGAGAAAUCUGUGUUUUAAUAACUUGUUCUUUCCUUUUCAUGUCAUAUGUAAUGAAUGAAUGAGAGGCCCUCACAAAAGCUGUCCCAAUUGAUGGGAUACGCAAGGAAGGUUGGGGUUAGGGGGACUAUGCAAGGAGACAGUUGUUCUGAGCAGUUAAGCCAGAAAGAGGGGAAGAAAGAAAGGGGCUAUCAUAAUUAUAUGCAUUUCAAGCUUGAUGAAGAGGGAAAGAAAGUUUUACUUAAUUUUACAUUGAAAUUUAUUAAGCCUAAGGAAAUGGAAGGGUAGGCUGAGGGACUUAGGAGCUUUCACUUGUCUUUCACAUUCAGUUAUCCUCAGUUUAGUUGAAGCAGCUUUCACUUGUCUUUCACAUUCAGUUAUCCUCAAUUUAGUUGAAGCGUAUUUGAUACUUAGUUUUGGGUUUUAGUUGAAAAUCCAUUAUCCAAUUCUGAAGUAUAAUCUUUAAUAGUGUUCAUUGGCUGUUCAAUUUAGAAUCUGUCUUUGAUGAAUUCAUUUGUGUAGCACUUGAUUGUGUUCUAUUUGUUUUGAUGCUUGGAACUGUCAAUAUUGAUGCAAUUUUUGUGCCUUGCUCGCUUGCAGGAAGCACCUGCAGUCAUUCAAUCUGUCUAUAACAAAAGAAUUGUUGGAUGCCCAGGAGGUGAAGGCGGUAAGUCCUUGUAACUUACCUCCUUUUUCAGUUUAUGAUGAACCAGUAAUAGUCGAUUCUCAAAAUGGAAAGUCACGGAAAAGGAAGAAUUUAAGUGAAUUUUAAUGCAGUUUCUCUAAGUUGUAAUGUUCACUUCUGCAUAAUUUUAUUGUCUUCUCCUUUAACAGAAGAUGAGCACGACGUUGUAUGGUUCUGGCUUGAGAAGGAUAAGCCGCAUGAGUGCCCAGUGUGCUCACAAUAUUUUGUGGUGAGUAGCAUGAUAAAUCUGGAAUUGAGAAUUUUAAUAUUGAUUAUAUUUUGAAGCAGAUACGUGUGAAGAUGUAUGCUGACAUGCAAAUUUGAGUGCUUCUUUUGUCCACUUAUUUGCAUUGAUAAAGACAGAGUAAAAGAAAUUAUUUGUUGUGGUUAGAAUUAGUCAACUUGAUGGGAUCAGUUUUGAUUUUUAUGGUUAAGGAAAUUAAGUAGCUUCUUGUUUCUCAAAUUUUCCAAGGUCAACUCUAAAGGAACGAUUGAGUAAUUUGCCCAUCCUUUUGUCUGAUACAUUUAUAUGACCAAUAUAAAAUUUUGUUGAUGGUAUGUCCAGGCCUUAGUUGCUAUGAUUAGCUUCAUCAUGUGAAGACCGACAUGUAAAUGUAAUGGAUGGGAUUACAAAUGGGAUUUUAUUGGCUCCACAAGGACAUGACUCCAUGGCUUAGUUAUUGUGGUUAAUUUGUUAAAAAUAUUUUUCUUGUACACAGUUAGAAGUAGUUGGUCACGGAGGAGAUCCUGAAGGGCAUUCUGAUGAUGAGCAUCACUAGUCGGAUUCUGCAAUGAGCCGGCAAAAGAGAUGAUGAGAGGAUCUAGCAAAUUCAGCAGGAUGUGAAAGCUUUGUGUUUUGUUCACUUCUGAAAAGUAUGUUCUUCUGAAGGUUGCUUUGGCAACAAUUGAGUCUGACAAAUUUUUCUUUAUACACUUUUUUGGUAUUUUAAGCAUGGGCUGGUCAUCCAUGGGAAUUACGGACUCUUUGACUUUUUUUUAGUGCAAGUCAAAUAAUCAAUGGCUACAAUUGGUUCAUUUGUAAUUGACAUUGGUACUUUAUGAGACGAUCCAUUGAAA